RNAcentral lists this ribosomal RNA (2929 nucleotides) under Escherichia coli. RNAcentral's name for it is "bacterial LSU rRNA". It matches the Rfam family "Bacterial large subunit ribosomal RNA". The record is from RNAcentral. Lineage: Bacteria; Pseudomonadati; Pseudomonadota; Gammaproteobacteria; Enterobacterales; Enterobacteriaceae.
GGGUUGUGAGGUUAAGCGACUAAGCGUACACGGUGGAUGCCCUGGCAGUCAGAGGCGAUGAAGGACGUGCUAAUCUGCGAUAAGCGUCGGUAAGGUGAUAUGAACCGUUAUAACCGGCGAUUUCCGAAUGGGGAAACCCAGUGUGAUUCGUCACACUAUCAUUAACUGAAUCCAUAGGUUAAUGAGGCGAACCGGGGGAACUGAAACAUCUAAGUACCCCGAGGAAAAGAAAUCAACCGAGAUUCCCCCAGUAGCGGCGAGCGAACGGGGAGCAGCCCAGAGCCUGAAUCAGUGUGUGUGUUAGUGGAAGCGUCUGGAAAGGCGCGCGAUACAGGGUGACAGCCCCGUACACAAAAAUGCACAUACUGUGAGCUCGAUGAGUAGGGCGGGACACGUGGUAUCCUGUCUGAAUAUGGGGGGACCAUCCUCCAAGGCUAAAUACUCCUGACUGACCGAUAGUGAACCAGUACCGUGAGGGAAAGGCGAAAAGAACCCCGGCGAGGGGAGUGAAAAAGAACCUGAAACCGUGUACGUACAAGCAGUGGGAGCCUCUUUAUGGGGUGACUGCGUACCUUUUGUAUAAUGGGUCAGCGACUUAUAUUCUGUAGCAAGGUUAACCGAAUAGGGGAGCCGAAGGGAAACCGAGUCUUAACUGGGCGUUAAGUUGCAGGGUAUAGACCCGAAACCCGGUGAUCUAGCCAUGGGCAGGUUGAAGGUUGGGUAACACUAACUGGAGGACCGAACCGACUAAUGUUGAAAAAUUAGCGGAUGACUUGUGGCUGGGGGUGAAAGGCCAAUCAAACCGGGAGAUAGCUGGUUCUCCCCGAAAGCUAUUUAGGUAGCGCCUCGUGAAUUCAUCUCCGGGGGUAGAGCACUGUUUCGGCAAGGGGGUCAUCCCGACUUACCAACCCGAUGCAAACUGCGAAUACCGGAGAAUGUUAUCACGGGAGACACACGGCGGGUGCUAACGUCCGUCGUGAAGAGGGAAACAACCCAGACCGCCAGCUAAGGUCCCAAAGUCAUGGUUAAGUGGGAAACGAUGUGGGAAGGCCCAGACAGCCAGGAUGUUGGCUUAGAAGCAGCCAUCAUUUAAAGAAAGCGUAAUAGCUCACUGGUCGAGUCGGCCUGCGCGGAAGAUGUAACGGGGCUAAACCAUGCACCGAAGCUGCGGCAGCGACACUAAGUGUUGUUGGGUAGGGGAGCGUUCUGUAAGCCUGUGAAGGUGUACUGUGAGGUAUGCUGGAGGUAUCAGAAGUGCGAAUGCUGACAUAAGUAACGAUAAAGCGGGUGAAAAGCCCGCUCGCCGGAAGACCAAGGGUUCCUGUCCAACGUUAAUCGGGGCAGGGUGAGUCGACCCCUAAGGCGAGGCCGAAAGGCGUAGUCGAUGGGAAACAGGUUAAUAUUCCUGUACUUGGUGUUACUGCGAAGGGGGGACGGAGAAGGCUAUGUUGGCCGGGCGACGGUUGUCCCGGUUUAAGCGUGUAGGCUGGUUUUCCAGGCAAAUCCGGAAAAUCAAGGCUGAGGCGUGAUGACGAGGCACUACGGUGCUGAAGCAACAAAUGCCCUGCUUCCAGGAAAAGCCUCUAAGCAUCAGGUAACAUCAAAUCGUACCCCAAACCGACACAGGUGGUCAGGUAGAGAAUACCAAGGCGCUUGAGAGAACUCGGGUGAAGGAACUAGGCAAAAUGGUGCCGUAACUUCGGGAGAAGGCACGCUGAUAUGUAGGUGAAGCGACUUGCUCGUGGAGCUGAAAUCAGUCGAAGAUACCAGCUGGCUGCAACUGUUUAUUAAAAACACAGCACUGUGCAAACACGAAAGUGGACGUAUACGGUGUGACGCCUGCCCGGUGCCGGAAGGUUAAUUGAUGGGGUUAGCGCAAGCGAAGCUCUUGAUCGAAGCCCCGGUAAACGGCGGCCGUAACUAUAACGGUCCUAAGGUAGCGAAAUUCCUUGUCGGGUAAGUUCCGACCUGCACGAAUGGCGUAAUGAUGGCCAGGCUGUCUCCACCCGAGACUCAGUGAAAUUGAACUCGCUGUGAAGAUGCAGUGUACCCGCGGCAAGACGGAAAGACCCCGUGAACCUUUACUAUAGCUUGACACUGAACAUUGAGCCUUGAUGUGUAGGAUAGGUGGGAGGCUUUGAAGUGUGGACGCCAGUCUGCAUGGAGCCGACCUUGAAAUACCACCCUUUAAUGUUUGAUGUUCUAACGUUGGCCCCUGAUCGGGGUUGCGGACAGUGUCUGGUGGGUAGUUUGACUGGGGCGGUCUCCUCCUAAAGAGUAACGGAGGAGCACGAAGGUUGGCUAAUCCUGGUCGGACAUCAGGAGGUUAGUGCAAUGGCAUAAGCCAGCUUGACUGCGAGCGUGACGGCGCGAGCAGGUGCGAAAGCAGGUCAUAGUGAUCCGGUGGUUCUGAAUGGAAGGGCCAUCGCUCAACGGAUAAAAGGUACUCCGGGGAUAACAGGCUGAUACCGCCCAAGAGUUCAUAUCGACGGCGGUGUUUGGCACCUCGAUGUCGGCUCAUCACAUCCUGGGGCUGAAGUAGGUCCCAAGGGUAUGGCUGUUCGCCAUUUAAAGUGGUACGCGAGCUGGGUUUAGAACGUCGUGAGACAGUUCGGUCCCUAUCUGCCGUGGGCGCUGGAGAACUGAGGGGGGCUGCUCCUAGUACGAGAGGACCGGAGUGGACGCAUCACUGGUGUUCGGGUUGUCAUGCCAAUGGCACUGCCCGGUAGCUAAAUGCGGAAGAGAUAAGUGCUGAAAGCAUCUAAGCACGAAACUUGCCCCGAGAUGAGUUCUCCCUGACUCCUUGAGAGUCCUGAAGGAACGUUGAAGACGACGACGUUGAUAGGCCGGGUGUGUAAGCGCAGCGAUGCGUUGAGCUAACCGGUACUAAUGAACCGUGAGGCUUAACCUUACAACGCCGAAGGUGUUU